AGAGGAAUAGCUGGGUCAAAUGCUGGUUCCAUUCCCAGCUUUCCAAGGAAUCGCCACACUGCUUUCCAAAUUCGCUGCACCAAUUUGCAGUCCCACCAGCAAU
Molecule: microRNA precursor, 103 nt
Filed under: Marmota monax (woodchuck)
Lineage: Eukaryota; Metazoa; Chordata; Mammalia; Rodentia; Sciuridae
Source: RNAcentral